UUUUCAUUUCAUCCAGUUUCAGUUGUGCUAAUCGAACGGUGUAACAACACUACCGAGAGAGUGUACUUAACGUAUGUAUGAUUGUGUGAGACUUAACAAACGAUGCCGCCGACGAAACUUAUGCAAAUUUAAAAACCUACGCAAU
Culex quinquefasciatus (southern house mosquito) is the source of this 145-nucleotide long non-coding RNA. RefSeq lists it as uncharacterized. The transcript has 3 exons. The record is from RefSeq and is a predicted model, not a curated record. Lineage: Eukaryota; Metazoa; Arthropoda; Insecta; Diptera; Culicidae.